CAGCCGCCGCGGUAAUACGAAGGGUGCAAGCGUUAAUCGGAAUUACUGGGCGUAAAGCGUGUGUAGGCGGUGAGUUAAGUCUGCUGUGAAAUCCCCGGGCUCAACCUGGGAAUGGCAGUGGAUACUGGCUCGCUAGAGUGUGUCAGAGGAUGGUGGAAUUCCCGGUGUAGCGGUGAAAUGCGUAGAGAUCGGGAGGAACAUCAGUGGCGAAGGCGGCCAUCUGGGACAACACUGACGCUGAGGCACGAAAGCGUGGGGAGCAAACAGGAUUAGAUACCCCCGUAGUCCCUGUCUCUUAUAC
This 301-nucleotide ribosomal RNA is filed under the name uncultured bacterium. RNAcentral's name for it is "partial 16S ribosomal RNA". It matches the Rfam family "Bacterial small subunit ribosomal RNA", at positions 509 to 807 of the family's 1533-position model. The record is from RNAcentral.